GGAGGCAAAGAAUAAUUGACAGAAGGCAUAGAAUUACAACCUUGACAGCCAACACUAUCUACAGAAGAAGGAGAAACAGGAAUUUCCUGCUGAGAUAAUUUACCACCUUCAGAGUAUAGACUUGUCUUCUAUUAAUCUAUAGAGGAAAGCUAUGCAUCCCUCCAACAAACUCUGAUUAUGUCCAAAAAGUGUUUUCAGGUUGUUCUGUAUUUUUUUUCAACGUAUUAGCUGUCCAAGGGAAAAAGAUGAAAGCAGAGCCAUGAUAAGCAAAUGACAAAAUUUAAAAAUACAUAUUUAUAGUAACAAGAUCUAAAUUGGGAGAAUAUCUGGUUUUCCAAAAUGAAUACAAGGGACUCUAGAAAAAUAAUGAAAAACAUUCAACAAUAACAGUCAGCUGAUGGUAAUUGAAAAUAUAUUAUACACAGGAUGUGAAAUCUUCAUGUCUGGACAAUCAGCUUUUUGUAUACACAGAUUUAGCAGGUCAGACUGUGGGAUUUGAGUAAGCAUGGAGUUUGGUAUAUGUGGGGGGUCCUGGAACCAAUUCACCAAGUAUACUGAGGGAUUACUUUAUUAUUUGAUUUUCUGUAAGUAUAAUUACCAUCUACUUCAAAGAAAAUUUCUGUAU
RNAcentral lists this long non-coding RNA (625 nucleotides) under Pan troglodytes (chimpanzee). Its description in RNAcentral is "lincRNA". Lineage: Eukaryota; Metazoa; Chordata; Mammalia; Primates; Hominidae. The record is from RNAcentral.